UGUCACGUUUGUAUCAAGUAAGUCAGCUUAGACCAAAUCUACCCCCGACUAGUUUUAUAUGGGUUUUUCUUAUUGUCUGGUUUGAAAAGUAGAAGGUUAUGGAAUAUUCAAAAAUUUUAGUUUUUAUGAGCUCAUGAAUGAUGAGUAGUAGAAGACAUUAAAGUCUGACGAUUAAUCCCUCUAAACUAUUACGAUGGUCGGAUAUUCUCGUAAUAAUUUA
RNAcentral lists this unclassified non-coding RNA (220 nucleotides) under Hevea brasiliensis (rubber tree). The record is from RNAcentral. Lineage: Eukaryota; Viridiplantae; Streptophyta; Magnoliopsida; Malpighiales; Euphorbiaceae.